GCAAGUCGAGGGGUAGAGUUCUUCGGAGCUUGAGACCGGCGCACGGGUGCGUAACGCGUAUGCAAUCUACCUUUUACAGAGGGAUAGCCCAGAGAAAUUUGGAUUAAUACCUCAUAGUAUAUCACAAUCGCAUGAUUGAGUUAUUAAAGUCACAACGGUAAAAGAUGAGCAUGCGUCCCAUUAGCUAGUUGGUAAGGUAACGGCUUACCAAGGCUACGAUGGGUAGGGGUCCUGAGAGGGAGAUCCCCCACACUGGUACUGAGACACGGACCAGACUCCUACGGGAGGCAGCAGUGAGGAAUAUUGGACAAUGGGCGCAAGCCUGAUCCAGCCAUGCCGCGUGCAGGAUGACGGUCCUAUGGAUUGUAAACUGCUUUUAUACGAGAAGAAACACUCCGACGUGUCGGAGCUUGACGGUAUCGUAAGAAUAAGGAUCGGCUAACUCCGUGCCAGCAGCCGCGGUAAUACGGAGGAUCCAAGCGUUAUCCGGAAUCAUUGGGUUUAAAGGGUCCGUAGGCGGUUUGGUAAGUCAGUGGUGAAAGCCCAUCGCUCAACGGUGGAACGGCCAUUGAUACUGCCAGACUUGAAUUAUUAGGAAGUAACUAGAAUAUGUAGUGUAGCGGUGAAAUGCUUAGAGAUUACAUGGAAUACCAAUUGCGAAGGCAGGUUACUACUAAUUGAUUGACGCUGAUGGACGAAAGCGUGGGUAGCGAACAGGAUUAGAUACCCUGGUAGUCCACGCCGUAAACGAUGGAUACUAGCUGUUGGGAGCAAUCUCAGUGGCUAAGCGAAAGUGAUAAGUAUCCCACCUGGGGAGUACGUUCGCAAGAAUGAAACUCAAAGGAAUUGACGGGGGCCCGCACAAGCGGUGGAGCAUGUGGUUUAAUUCGAUGAUACGCGAGGAACCUUACCAAGGCUUAAAUGUAGAUUGACCGGUUUGGAAACAGAUCUUUCGCAAGACAAUUUACAAGGUGCUGCAUGGUUGUCGUCAGCUCGUGCCGUG
This 1003-nucleotide ribosomal RNA is filed under the name Flavobacterium pectinovorum. RNAcentral's name for it is "bacterial SSU rRNA". It matches the Rfam family "Bacterial small subunit ribosomal RNA", at positions 57 to 1069 of the family's 1533-position model. Lineage: Bacteria; Pseudomonadati; Bacteroidota; Flavobacteriia; Flavobacteriales; Flavobacteriaceae. The record is from RNAcentral.